Molecule: long non-coding RNA, 504 nt
Organism: Humulus lupulus (European hop)
Lineage: Eukaryota; Viridiplantae; Streptophyta; Magnoliopsida; Rosales; Cannabaceae
Exons: 2
Source: RefSeq, a predicted model, not a curated record
UUCAUGAUUUCUUUUUGUUUCCUUGAUUAAUUCUUUUGUUUUUGCCUAAACUCAUGGUUGAUUCCCUUUUGAUGUGUUGCACAUGCAAUUUCACCAAUUUUGCUAGAAAUAUCCGCUGCCAGAAGUGCAAAGGUGAGGGACCAAAGAAGUCAGGAGGAAGUGAUAUUGAAAUGAAGAAAGGUGAUUGGAAUUAUCCAAAGUGGGUCAAUUUUUCUCAAAAUGUGAUGCAGGAAAAUAGAUACGGAGGCAGAAGGAUUCUUGGAAGCUUGGCAUGUGUGUUGAGGCUGAAUGGAAUUGAUGGGUUGCGUGUCGAUUCGAGGACGACGUUAUUUUUAGUCUUUUAAAGUAUGUUUUUAUGUAUUUUCCGCAUUUAGUUUUGUAAACAAUUUAAUUUAAUUUAAAGUUAUGUUUUAUUUUAAAACAAUGGGAUCCCAUAUCGCACAUUUAUGUGUUUUGAAUAUUUACUUUGGAGUUUUUAAUAAAGUUACGGAUACUUCUUAUGUA